Molecule: ribosomal RNA, 326 nt
Filed under: Helicobacter bilis
Lineage: Bacteria; Pseudomonadati; Campylobacterota; Epsilonproteobacteria; Campylobacterales; Helicobacteraceae
Description: bacterial SSU rRNA
Rfam family: Bacterial small subunit ribosomal RNA
Source: RNAcentral
CCGGCCUGAGAGGGUGAUCGGACACACUGGAACUGAGACACGGUCCAGACUCCUACGGGAGGCAGCAGUAGGGAAUAUUGCUCAAUGGGGGAAACCCUGAAGCAGCAACGCCGCGUGGAGGAUGAAGGUUUUAGGAUUGUAAACUCCUUUUGUAAGAGAAGAUUAUGACGGUAUCUUACGAAUAAGCACCGGCUAACUCCGUGCCAGCAGCCGCGGUAAUACGGAGGGUGCAAGCGUUACUCGGAAUCACUGGGCGUAAAGAGCGCGUAGGCGGGAGAGUAAGUCAGAUGUGAAAUCCUGUAGCUUAACUACAGAACUGCAUUUGG